RNAcentral lists this long non-coding RNA (207 nucleotides) under Lathyrus oleraceus (garden pea). RNAcentral describes it as "Pisum sativum (pea) long non-coding RNA (PSAT_LNC004985)". The record is from RNAcentral. Lineage: Eukaryota; Viridiplantae; Streptophyta; Magnoliopsida; Fabales; Fabaceae.
AGCAAGAACAACAACAACAGAGCAACAGUAGCAAUAAUAACAAUAGUAAAAACAACAACAAUAACAACACCAUCCACAAGAACAACAACAAGAACAAUAACAACGAGGACAAUAGCAACAACAACAAUAGCUACAACAGAUACAACAUAAACAACAUAAACAACAAUAACAACAACAAUGAAGACGAGGACGAUGAUGAUGACAACG